Molecule: long non-coding RNA, 1114 nt
Organism: Vigna angularis (adzuki bean)
Lineage: Eukaryota; Viridiplantae; Streptophyta; Magnoliopsida; Fabales; Fabaceae
Exons: 3
Source: RefSeq, a predicted model, not a curated record
UAUGAGAUGAUUUUGUUGCGUGUUGCAUUGAUAUUUGUUUCAACAUAUCAGAUUAUGUUGUCGACAGCCACUUGGUGAGAGAUUUUCAUACCAAGGAAUCUCGUGGAUUUGCUUUUGUCACUAUGGCAACUACAGAUGACGCUGAGCGCUGUAUCAAGAAAUUCGAUCACACGGUUCAAUUUGAUCGGGUGAUAGUUGUGGAAAGGGUAAUAUUUAGCUACUGGUUUCAGAAUGAGUAUAACCAAAAAUUAUUUUUGUACAAAUUUUUCCUAUUACUCAUUCCCUUCUAGACGCCCCAUCCCCACCCGAAAUUUCUACUUUCCGAGAAACAUUCCCUGAUAAGUUUUGGCAGCAGGUUUUCUCCGUGUAGCUUCGUCGAAUUCCCCAUCUGGUUGGUUAUGUCUUUAUUGUGAAGGGUUGUGUGAAGUUGAUUUAUUGAACUGCCAAAUGCUUCAAACAAUAGUAUAUUAGUAUGUUGUAAUCUUGUAUCAGUAUGUUCCAAAUGUCCUACCUGUCGUUAUCUUAUUUGCAUAUCUUUUGCAGUCAAUGAGACAGUGUCCCAGGACUCCAACUCCUGGCAAGUACAGUGGUACAAGAUACGACCAUGAACAGAGAGGGAGACAAACUCUUAGUCAUUCACCUAGGCAACAGCGGGAUAAACAUCGUUAUUCAAGGGACCGAUCUCGUAGUCUGUCACCUGUAAGAAAGGAGGAUAGAUAUCGUUUUUCAAGGGAUCGAUCUCGUAGUCAGACUCCGAUACAAAAGGAGGAUAGUUAUUCAACGGACCGGCGAGGAAGAUCACGUUCUCCACGAUCACAUAUGAGGCAGAGGGAUUAGUUGUCAAGAUUAAGCAAAGAUAUCCCUACCCAUUAUAGCCUCCAAUAUUUGAAAUAGUAUCCUUUUGUAUGUGAAAAGGUCAUAGCACAUGUCAACCAUGUUGUUGUUAAUUAGGUUACUUGUACCGAGGUUGUCUUAUCCUACAGAGCAUGCAUGCAUUCUGCAAAAUUUGGUUUUUUUUCCAUCCCAUUAAUCUGGUAGUUUCUUAAUGGCCGAAUGUAUAGUUCAUUGCUUGAAAGACUGAGAGAUACAUGGAGUUCACGCCCCAACUCUUGUU